This 255-nucleotide ribosomal RNA is filed under the name uncultured bacterium. RNAcentral's name for it is "partial 16S ribosomal RNA". It matches the Rfam family "Bacterial small subunit ribosomal RNA", at positions 524 to 777 of the family's 1533-position model. The record is from RNAcentral.
GACAGAGGUGCCAAGCGUUAGGCGGAAUCACUGGGCUUAAAGCGUGUGUAGGUGGAUUUGUAAGUACCUUGUGAAAUCCCAUGGCUCAACCAUGGAACUGCUCGGUAUACUGCGAAUCUUGAGCCACUUAGGGGCUACCGGAACAAAUGGUGGAGCGGUGAAAUGCGUAGAUAUCAUUUGGAACGCCAAUGGUGAAAACAGGGUAGCUGGGAGUGUGCUGACACUGAGACACGAAAGCCAGGGGAGCGAACGGGG